AUUGAACGCUGGCGGCAUGCUUUACACAUGCAAGUCGAACGGUAACAGGCCGCAAGGUGCUGACGAGUGGCGAACGGGUGAGUAAUGCAUCGGAACGUGCCCAGUCGUGGGGGAUAACGCAGCGAAAGCUGUGCUAAUACCGCAUACGAUCUAUGGAUGAAAGCGGGGGACCGUAAGGCCUCGCGCGAUUGGAGCGGCCGAUGUCAGAUUAGGUAGUUGGUGGGGUAAAGGCUCACCAAGCCAACGAUCUGUAGUUGGUCUGAGAGGACGACCAGCCACACUGGGACUGGGACACGGGCCAGACUCCUACGGGAGGCAGCAGUGGGGAAGUUUGGACAAUGGGCGCAAGCCUGAUCCAGCAAUGCCGCGUGCAGGAAGAAGGCCUUCGGGUUGUAAACUGCUUUUGUACGGAACGAAACGGCGAGCUCUAAUACAGUUUGCUAAUGACGGUACCGUAAGAAUAAGCACCGGCUAACUACGUGCCAGCAGCCGCCGCCG
Molecule: ribosomal RNA, 498 nt
Filed under: uncultured bacterium
Lineage: Bacteria
Description: partial 16S ribosomal RNA
Rfam family: Bacterial small subunit ribosomal RNA
Source: RNAcentral